RNAcentral lists this ribosomal RNA (258 nucleotides) under uncultured bacterium. RNAcentral's name for it is "partial 16S ribosomal RNA". It matches the Rfam family "Bacterial small subunit ribosomal RNA", at positions 96 to 354 of the family's 1533-position model. The record is from RNAcentral.
CGGCGGACGGGUGAGUAACGCGUGGACAACCUGCCCUAUGCAGGGGGAUAACAUCCGGAAACGGGUGCUAAUACCGCAUAAGCGCACAGUACCGCAUGGUACAGUGUGAAAAGCUGAGGCGGCAUAGGAUGGGUCCGCGUUGGAUUAGGCAGUUGGCGGGGUAACGGCCCACCAAACCGACGAUCCAUAGCCGGCCAGAGAGGGUGGACGGCCACAUUGGGACUGAGACACGGCCCAGACUCCUACGGGAGGCAGCAG